Molecule: ribosomal RNA, 253 nt
Filed under: uncultured bacterium
Lineage: Bacteria
Description: partial 16S ribosomal RNA
Rfam family: Bacterial small subunit ribosomal RNA
Source: RNAcentral
UACGGAGGGUGCGAGCGUUGUCCGGAAUUACUGGGCGUAAAGGGCGCGUAGGCGGAUAUCUAAGUUGGGGGUGAAAUCCCGGGGCUCAACCUCGGAAUUGCCUUCAAAACUGGGUAUCUUGAGUUCGGGAGAGGUGAGUGGAACUCCGAGUGUAGAGGUGAAAUUCGUAGAUAUUCGGAGGAACACCAGUGGCGAAGGCGGCUCACUGGCUCGACACUGACGCUGAGGUGCGAAAGCGUGGGGAGCAAACAGG